This 253-nucleotide ribosomal RNA is filed under the name uncultured bacterium. RNAcentral's name for it is "partial 16S ribosomal RNA". It matches the Rfam family "Bacterial small subunit ribosomal RNA", at positions 524 to 776 of the family's 1533-position model. The record is from RNAcentral.
GACGUAGGGGGCGAGCGUUGUCCGGAUUUACUGGGCGUAAAGAGCGCGCAGGCGGUCGUUCAAGUCGCGUGUGAAAGCCCCCGGCUCAACUGGGGAGGGUCACGCGAUACUGAUCGACUCGAAGGCAGGAGAGGGUAGUGGAAUUCCCGGUGUAGUGGUGAAAUGCGUAGAUAUCGGGAGGAACACCAGUGGCGAAGGCGACUACCUGGCCUGUUCUUGACGCUGAGGCGCGAAAGCUAGGGGAGCAAACGGG